CCCUCAAGGUGGAAUUAUCUUCAAUUGAAGCAUUUGCCCUUCUGUGUUGAUGUACUUCAAUUUCCAUAGUUCUGUCAUUGGAAUGCAAUGCACCUGCUGGGCAAGAGAUGGCAUCCGAAAGCUCUGGCAUUGUUAAUCACUUCAUCAACGUCGAAUCGCCAAAUGCGAAACUCCAACUUCAUCUCCAAUCAGUCGAUGCAGCCAGCGGGGCAUUUGGACUUCUAGAUACAAGAUACCACACACAAGAUACAUAUAUACGAGUACUCGUAGUCGAAUGCCAGAUAAAUCUCAGCAGCAUCAAACAUUUUUGCGGCCUUCGUGUACACCGGGGGGUAGUCAGCUUGCCGCAUGCCGCAUGCCGCAGUUGAAGUUGCAGUUGCAGAUGCAAAACUCUUGGAAUUAUGAUGUGCUCGUGCUCGUCGAGAUGGCGGUGACUGCUAACUAAUAAUUGCCUGAACUUAAGGCAGUGUCCACGUUGGCGGGGGCAGCAAAUAAAUUUGCACAGAGUUGCAAAUCAUUUGAAUGGCGGCGACUCCCAACUGCCAACUGCAAACUGGCAAGUGAGUCUGUUCGUCUAUUCGUCUGUUGACUUGUUACACCCUGUACCUAAAAGCUGAAGAGGGUCACUUUACUUUGUAGAAAGGAAACUAUGCAUCACAUUAUAAGGAUAAGAAAGAAUAUAUACAUAUUCUCGAUCAGCAUCAAAUAUUGAAUCGAUUAGUCUUAACGAACAUCUAGAUGUCAGACUGCAAGAGCUAGAGACACCAAACGUGGUAUCUAUUGUAGGUUUCUGCAUAAAUAAAUUAUGAGCGCAGUUUUAAAGCUGAA
Molecule: long non-coding RNA, 828 nt
Organism: Drosophila innubila
Lineage: Eukaryota; Metazoa; Arthropoda; Insecta; Diptera; Drosophilidae
Exons: 2
Source: RefSeq, a predicted model, not a curated record